UACGUAGGGUGCAAGCGUUGUCCGGAAUUAUUGGGCGUAAAGAGCUCGUAGGCGGUGUGUCGCGUCGGCCGUGAAAACCUGGGGCUUAACUCUGGGCUUGCGGUCGAUACGGGCAUCACUGGAGUUCGGCAGGGGAGACUGGAAUUCCUGGUGUAGCGGUGAAAUGCGCAGAUAUCAGGAGGAACACCGGUGGCGAAGGCGGGUCUCUGGGCCGAUACUGACGCUGAGGAGCGAAAGCGUGGGGAGCGAACAGG
RNAcentral lists this ribosomal RNA (254 nucleotides) under uncultured bacterium. RNAcentral's name for it is "partial 16S ribosomal RNA". It matches the Rfam family "Bacterial small subunit ribosomal RNA", at positions 524 to 776 of the family's 1533-position model. The record is from RNAcentral.